Brassica napus (rape) is the source of this 4432-nucleotide RNA transcript. It is a transcript of the gene named peroxisome biogenesis protein 12-like, with no coding region annotated. The transcript is spliced from 3 exons. The record is from RefSeq and is a predicted model, not a curated record. NCBI's taxonomy places the organism in Eukaryota, Viridiplantae, Streptophyta, Magnoliopsida, Brassicales, Brassicaceae.
CAGAAAGCUUUGUCACUGGUUUCUCGGAACAAUUGAUUUUCCGACAACAGAUUCUCUUAUCGGUAAAGCAUCGGAAAAGUUGACAGAAAUUUGUCGGAGUCCUCCGAAGAGAUUUUGACAGUUGUUUUACCGAGAACAUUCCGAUGAUUAUGGUUUAAGGUUCUCGGCAAUUUAUCGAAAAUUCUAAUUUAAUAUCUUAAGGCCACGAUCUACUUCUCAUUGUUAUCAACUUAUCAUUAUCACAUCUCUUAUCCACCGGCUGUCUACAACUCAUGGGCAAUGGUGGUGGUGAUUGGAGGUGAUGCAUCGUUGGAUAAGAUGUUGUUCAAUUCCAAGCAACAACAAAUAAUGGGUGAUUACCAAUACAUUGGCCUGUUUUGAGAUUUAAAACUAGAUCUAGUUUUGUUAUUCAUGUUCUAAGCUAUGUCUAAGGAGCGGCAACACAAAACAGUUCUCUGAUGGCUCUGUUUUCUAAGUUGUGUUUGCAGUGUGGUUGAAGGAGGCUCUGUUCUCUCUCCAGUGUGGUGGCAUGGUUACCGGAGAAGCAACACGAAGCGAGUACUCGGAUGCCUCGACGGGGACUUUAUUCUUAUUUACACUACAACCUCUCACAAAAAUUCUAAUAUACCCCCACUUCUAAUAAAUUAUAUUUUUUCAUUUCUUUUUAAUUACAAAAAGUGGUUAUAUAGAAAAACACCCUUAAUGAAUUUAAACAUUUACCUAAUCCAACCUAGCUAACCUAACCCCACUCAUACCCUAUCGGAUUAUCUGAAUUCAUAUCACGUGUCUCUCUCUUUUUCUCACUUUUUCUUCUUUUACAAAAAUAUCUCGUCAUCAUCAUCUUCAUCUUCCUGUUCAUCCAUUAUCUUAGUCUUUUUCUUCUAUAAUCUUUGGAUUCAGAACCUUAAAUUUUUGGCUAUUUAAAGCCUUAUUUCAACUAUCUACAUUUAUUCUCUGUUAAUCCUUGCUCAAACGGAUCAGUUUCUUCGUCGCUCCUAUGGCGUAUGUGGUCAUAGCUUGAUAGGCCAUGGAUUUGACCCACUUUUACCCAUGAUUUAUAAGUGUUUUAACUACUAUUUAUUAUAUUCUAGAGUCUAUUUAGUAUAUUUAUAGGACCAUGAGUGAUUUGGAAGAAAGUGAUGAUUUUAGAGCAUUUUGGAGAUAUUUGGAGGAAGCAUCCGAGCUGACCAUCAGUCGACAUUAAAGAGAAAUAAUCGAUCGACGGCGAAGCGCGCAGAAAUCCGUUUGGUCCAAGCCGACUUAAAGCCCAGGUCUUCAUCAAUUUACAAGAUUACCCCUAACGAGUUUUACCCUAAUUAUAUAAGUUUCCCAACAUGUAAGAGGAAAAGUGUGCUUUCUUGUUUUACUAUUUUUACAACAAAGAUUUUGUAGGAUUUUUAGUAGAUUGAAGAGAAGAUUCAAAGAUAUUUGUGAUUGGAACACCAUUAAUAUCCAUCUUUUUAUCUAUGCAGUUUAUAUACCUAAUUGAUGUUAUGAAUUGCUUAGCCAUGUCUGAGUAGUUCUCUUGUUAGGUUUAGGGUUUAAAUAGGUUAUGAGAGAUUAGCCCCAACUAUAGAUUGCUAAGUUUUUAUAUUCAUCAUUAGGAUUGACAUUAAAGCAUGUUUCUAGUUUAGCUAGCUAGAACUUGAUCUAGGAGCUUGAGGUAAAGGUCAUCACUUGCAUCUCACCCUGAAUCCAUCAUAAUUGAGCUAAGAUUGCUAGAGUAAAGCGAGAGCUGAUCUAGGAAGCUUAGUGAGCACAUUCAACCUGCACGUUAAAGCUUAGCCAAACGCGUCGAUCGAUAUUCUAAUCGAAUAAUCGGUCGACGGUGAAUAAUUGGUCGACGGUUCAACAAGUGUAUCGAUCGAUAUUCCUAUAGAAUCAUCGAUCGACACUUAUAUCUGGUCAAUAGACAAACCUAGAAAGCGAGAGUCUGUCGGUUUGUUUAUAAGUGUUGGCUCUAUAGUAUCAUGCAUACAACUUGUUAGGCAUCUCUAGGAUUAUAAUCUUGAUUACCUGAAUAAAAACCCUAAGUCUAGCUAUUUUCAUCUAAGUACCAAAACCCCCAAUCAAAUCAAUCGAGCAACUGCCUUGCUCACAAACCUUCUUUUACAUUUAAUCGUAAUCAACCUAUCUUAAUCAGUAUGAUUAGAUUUAUUAGGUUCCAUAGCUCCCUGUGAAUUCGAUCUCUAAAUAGUACAACUGAACCUCUUAUUUUUGAAAGUAACUCACUCCUUAGGGUAAUUUGAGCCAGAUCAUAGCUCAGUACACGUUACAUAACUGAAGAUUUGAUGUGUAAAAAAAAUAUUAAAACCCAUAAAAACUGAAAUUUUUUUGAAGAAAAUCCAUGGCAGGGACAUUAUUUUUAUAUGGGACAUAACCCUCGUAGGUUAUUCUACCACAACCUACAAUAUUCUUCAUGAUCCUCUUUAAAUGAAAUAUCCAUCUUGCCCUUAAUGAUUAGUUCUUUUUGUUUUAUUUUAUUUUACUUUUCCUGCAAUAAAUUAAAAAAUAAACAAAAAAAAAGAAAGAAAAAGAAGUGGGUCUCUUUCAACUUCAGCGGCUUUCGUUUGUACUUCCUCCGGCAGCACGUAGUGUCUCCAGCGCUCUUUACAAGUCGCAACCAUCUUCUCCUCUUCAAACUUCAAUUCCAAGAUGGUCUAUUGCUCCAACCUCCACCAACGUUGUGCUCUAUUACUCGUAGGUGAGUUCCUCCCACUCCGCCAAGUCCCAUCAUCACCGUGACCUUAGUCCCUCGCCACCGACUCCUCCAAGCUUCGAUUUCAGUCAACCAUGGAUGAUGAUGGAUUGAGUAGAUUUCAAUCAACCAUGGAUGAUUUAUCCAUCGAAUCUAGUGGGAAGCUAACUUUUCAUUAUUUGUGUUUUCAGUCCUCAGAUUUUUUGUUCCUCUUCAUUUUGGUCCCAAAUUUUUUAAAUGACUAGAUUUUUUUUCUGAUUUCAGCUUGAACUUUUCAAUUAUGCACUCUAAACCAUGUUAGCUACAAAUCUAUAUAUAUAUAUAUAUAUAUAUAUAUAAAAGGGUUUUCUCCUUCCUGGUGAAGCCACCUAAAUCAUUCCGCACCUGUCACCUAAAUCAUUCCGCACCGUUUCACUCACGUAACUUUGCAGAAGAUGUAUGGGCUUUGUUUAGUUUUUCGGCCUAAAGUUAUGUUGAAGAGACCCAAACCAUAAGAGAGUCUACGUGAUCAUCGUAACCUGCGCUUCUCCUUCUCCGCCAUUACCAGAGAUUGCCAUCGUGAAGAAUCUCUUCCUAGGGUUUUCACGACAUCGUUUGCUCUUCUCUUAAUCAACUGAAACACCCACAGUUACAGAUCCAUCGCGUUAAACGCCUCUUUAAUCCAUCAACCACGAUGGAUCUUUAAUGCAAGUCUCUCUUCUCCAGGGCGAUCUAUUUGUUAGUAUACAUAGAGAACCCCCAAUUUGAAAAAGGUUUUCAGGCGAUGAGUGAUCUCCGGCCAUAACAAAGGUUUGUAGGUUUUCAUGUGUUUCUGAAGAAUAUUGUUUUAUUUGACAUGUGUGGUCGAUCUUUGUUACAAUGUGUUUGUUCCUGGACACCAUCAAAUAAAUUUUGUAUGUACUGAUGUUUCCCACUAACUAAAAUCAUUUUUUCUUAUUUCUUUUGGAAUUGUAAACUAACGACAGUUGCUGGUAUGCUUUUUGCAUUGAAGAUCGUUUCUCCAUAAAAUCUUGGACUACGAAGACGAGUUCUUUGCUGCUCUGAUGCUUAUCCUCGAAGGACAUAGCUUAAGAACCACAUGUUAGAUUUUGGGAUCAAUGUGUUUGGAUUGGAGUAGUGUCACUGUGUGUUAAAGUUUAGUUUUUUUAAUGAAUUGUUUGCAGAUGUUUUGUUUGCUGAAUCAUUGUAUGGUUUGAGGAGAAAGUCAGUUAGGUUGAGAUUACGCAAAGGUUCCAGUAAAGAAGUUCAACGUUUUGGUUUAGAGAAACGCCAAAGAGUCCUCUCUGUUUUUUUUCUGGUUGUGUUACAGUAUUUUAUAUCAAAGUUGCAUGGUAUAUAUAACAAGGAAAGGGAAGCGAUGCUCUGGGAGAGUUUAUGGGGAUCAGAGGAUCAAGGGUUUGAUGAAGCUAACUUCUUUACAGGAGAGGAAACCGUUGUUUCAAGAGGGGAUAGUGGGAAUCAUGCGCUUUCUCUUCGAGUACAGUUAGCUACGAGAAUUAAGAAGUUUGUAGCUGUGUGCUAUCUUUGGAUAGAUGUAUCAAGUGAAGGUAGUUUCUGAUUUAUGUAGAACACGAGUGUUUUGUAUAAUAGCUAUUAUGAUUCUUUCUAAUAGUUAGGUUGAGCUUCAUGCCUAGAGUUGGUAAUCUUGAUGUUCUAAAUUGAAACCACAUUCCGUGCUUUUAGUCCAUUUCUGGAUGGUUAUGAGUAAUAUACUCUAAGCAUGUGUUUGAUUUA